RNAcentral lists this ribosomal RNA (335 nucleotides) under Helicops hagmanni. Its description in RNAcentral is "partial small subunit ribosomal RNA". Lineage: Eukaryota; Metazoa; Chordata; Lepidosauria; Squamata; Dipsadidae. The record is from RNAcentral.
AAAGACUUGACGGUACUUCACAACAACCUAGAGGAGCCUGUCUAAUAACCGAUACCCCACGAUUAACCCCACCUACCUCUAGCCCAACAGUCUAUAUACCGCCGUCGCCAGCCUACCUUGUGAAAGAAGUAAAGUAAGCGCAAUAAGACCCCCCUAACACGACAGGUCGAGGUGUAACUAAUGAGUAGGUAAAAGAUGGUCUACAUUUCCUAACACAGGACACACGAACAAACUAUGAAACUAGAAACUGAAGGCGGAUUUAGCAGUAUGAUAAGAAUAGAAUACCUAACUGAAACCAAUGCAAUGAAGUGCGCACACACCGCCCGUCAUCCCUG